UACGUAGGGGGCAAGCGUUGUCCGGAAUCAUUGGGCGUAAAGCGCGUGUAGGCGGUCCGGUAAGUCCGCUGUGAAAGUCGGGGGCUCAACCCUCGGAUGCCGGUGGAUACUGUCGGGCUUGAGUACGGAAGAGGCGAGUGGAAUUCCUGGUGUAGCGGUGAAAUGCGCAGAUAUCAGGAGGAACACCAAUUGCGAAGGCAGCGCGCUGGGACGUUACUGACGCUGAGACGCGAAAGCGUGGGGAGCAAACAGG
Molecule: ribosomal RNA, 253 nt
Filed under: uncultured bacterium
Lineage: Bacteria
Description: partial 16S ribosomal RNA
Rfam family: Bacterial small subunit ribosomal RNA
Source: RNAcentral